RNAcentral lists this ribosomal RNA (478 nucleotides) under uncultured bacterium. RNAcentral's name for it is "partial 16S ribosomal RNA". It matches the Rfam family "Bacterial small subunit ribosomal RNA", at positions 28 to 523 of the family's 1533-position model. The record is from RNAcentral.
GACGAACGCUGGCGGCGUGCUUAACACAUGCAAGUCGAACGGUAAGGCCCUUCGGGGUACACGAGUGGCGAACGGGUGAGUAACACGUGGGUGAUCUGCCACGCACUUCGGGAUAAGCCUGGGAAACUGGGUCUAAUACCGGAUAGGACCACUGCCUGCAUGGGUGGUGGUGGAAAGCUUUUGUGGUGUGGGAUGGGCCCGCGGCCUAUCAGCUUGUUGGUGGGGUGAUGGCCUACCAAGGCGACGACGGGUAGCCGGCCUGAGAGGGUGACCGGCCACACUGGGACUGAGAUACGGCCCAGACUCCUACGGGAGGCAGCAGUGGGGAAUAUUGCACAAUGGGCGCAAGCCUGAUGCAGCGACGCCGCGUGAGGGAUGACGGCCUUCGGGUUGUAAACCUCUUUCAGCACCGACGAAGCGCAAGUGACGGUAGGUGCAGAAGAAGGACCGACCAACUACGUGCCAGCAGCCGCGGUAA